RNAcentral lists this ribosomal RNA (579 nucleotides) under uncultured bacterium. Its description in RNAcentral is "bacterial SSU rRNA". It matches the Rfam family "Bacterial small subunit ribosomal RNA", at positions 337 to 916 of the family's 1533-position model. The record is from RNAcentral.
UCCUACGGGAGGCAGCAGUGAGGAAUAUUGGUCAAUGGAGGCAACUCUGAACCAGCCAAGUCGCGUGAAGGAUGACGGCCCUACGGGUUGUAAACUUCUUUUUUAAGGGAAUAAAGUGAGCCACGUGUGGCUUUUUGCAUGUACCUUACGAAUAAGGAUCGGCUAACUCCGUGCCAGCAGCCGCGGUAAUACGGGGGAUCCGAGCGUUAUCCGGAUUUAUUGGGUUUAAAGGGUGCGCAGGCGGAAUAUUAAGUCGGCGGUGAAAGUUUGCUGCUUAACUGUAAAAUUGCCGUUGAUACUGGUAUUCUUGAGUGUAUAUGAAGUAGGCGGAAUUUGUAGUGUAGCGGUGAAAUGCAUAGAUAUUACAAGGAACUCCAAUUGCGAAGGCAGCUUACUAAAUUACAACUGACGCUUAGGCACGAAGGCGUGGGUAUCAAACAGGAUUAGAUACCCUGGUAGUCCACGCAGUAAACGAUGAUUACUCGCUGUUUGCGAUACACAGUAAGCGGCUUAGCGAAAGCGUUAAGUAAUCCACCUGGGGAGUACGUUCGCAAGAAUGAAACUCAAAGGAAUUGACGG